GACGAACGCUGGCGGCGUGCUUAACACAUGCAAGUCGAACGGAAAGGCCCUGCUUUUGUGGGGUGCUCGAGUGGCGAACGGGUGAGUAACACGUGAGUAACCUGCCCUUGACUUUGGGAUAACUUCAGGAAACUGGGGCUAAUACCGGAUAGGAGCUCCUGCUGCAUGGUGGGGGUUGGAAAGUUUCGGCGGUUGGGGAUGGACUCGCGGCUUAUCAGCUUGUUGGUGGGGUAGUGGCUUACCAAGGCUUUGACGGGUAGCCGGCCUGAGAGGGUGACCGGCCACAUUGGGACUGAGAUACGGCCCAGAUUCCUACGGGAGGCAGCAGUGGGGAAUAUUGCACAAUGGGCGGAAGCCUGAUGCAGCAACGCCGCGUGCGGGAUGACGGCCUUCGGGUUGUAAACCGCUUUCGCCUGUGACGAAGCGUGAGUGACGGUAAUGGGUAAAGAAGCACCGGCUAACUACGU
Molecule: ribosomal RNA, 467 nt
Filed under: uncultured bacterium
Lineage: Bacteria
Description: partial 16S ribosomal RNA
Rfam family: Bacterial small subunit ribosomal RNA
Source: RNAcentral